RNAcentral lists this transfer RNA (73 nucleotides) under Desulfuromonas sp. SDB. Its description in RNAcentral is "tRNA-Ala". It matches the Rfam family "tRNA". From Rfam's summary of the family: Transfer RNA (tRNA) molecules are approximately 80 nucleotides in length. RNAcentral also lists the same sequence under 2 other names. Lineage: Bacteria; Pseudomonadati; Thermodesulfobacteriota; Desulfuromonadia; Desulfuromonadales; Desulfuromonadaceae. The record is from RNAcentral.
GGGGCAGUGGCUCAGCUGGUAGAGCGCCUCCCUCGCACGGAGGAGAUCGGCGGUUCGACUCCGCUCUGCUCCA